UACGUAGGGUGCAAGCGUUGUCCGGAAUUAUUGGGCGUAAAGAGCUCGUAGGCGGUCUGUUGCGUCCGCUGUGAAAACUCGGGGCUUAACCCCGAGCCUGCAGUGGAUACGGGCAGACUAGAGGUAGGUAGGGGAGAAUGGAAUUCCCGGUGUAGCGGUGAAAUGCGCAGAUAUCGGGAGGAACACCGGUGGCGAAGGCGGCACUCUGGGACGGUACUGGCGC
Molecule: ribosomal RNA, 223 nt
Filed under: uncultured bacterium
Lineage: Bacteria
Description: partial 16S ribosomal RNA
Rfam family: Bacterial small subunit ribosomal RNA
Source: RNAcentral